AACACCGGAGAUCACUGCAGAGGAUAAGAAAGGAGCAGAGCUGCAUUUUUUGUUUCCUCAAAAAACACCUGAGACUCUUAUAUAAUCAAGCCAUAAUCAUGA
Ceratotherium simum simum (southern white rhinoceros) is the source of this 102-nucleotide non-coding RNA. The record is from RefSeq and is a predicted model, not a curated record. NCBI's taxonomy places the organism in Eukaryota, Metazoa, Chordata, Mammalia, Perissodactyla, Rhinocerotidae.